Molecule: long non-coding RNA, 2535 nt
Organism: Spinacia oleracea (spinach)
Lineage: Eukaryota; Viridiplantae; Streptophyta; Magnoliopsida; Caryophyllales; Amaranthaceae
Exons: 10
Source: RefSeq, a predicted model, not a curated record
UCCCAAAAAUAUUUCAUUUGGCGCUGCUCCUCUCCUUCCUCUUCUCUGUUUCCCUAAAACCUAUUUUCAUUUCCGGCUUCUCUACUCUUCCCCUCUCUGGUUUCUCUGCUCUUCCCCUCUCUCUUCUCUUCCUCUCUUUGGUUUCUCUGUGCGCGAAAUCAACACUCACAACACUCAUAACGCACACCGCACUCCACCACCACCGCCGCGUCGCCGCUGCUGGUCCCCCACCGUCGCGUCGCCGCUGCUGGCCCCCCACCGUCGUGUCACCGCUGGUACUCCCUCACCGCCGCGUCUCCGCUGCUGCUCCCCCACCGCCGCGAAUUUUGGAAAGUCAAAUUUCAAUUUGCGUUUCUCCAAAUCCUAGAAAAUGUGGGGUGGCUUUUUCCGGGUGUUAUUACCUCUGAAGCUGUUGAUGUCCUAAGGAAAGCCAAUGUUGUAGUUGCACCGGCCAUGGAUGCUAGAGCUGGGGGGGGGGUUGCUGUUGGAGAACUUGAACAAAUCAUGUGUUCAAUCUGAUGCAAUGGACCCCUAAAGACUUUGAAUCUAAAUUACAGGAUCAUGAUCGUGGAAAAGAAAAUGUCAGACUGAAAAAAGGAGUUGCAAUCCAUAAGCCAAAAAGUAGAGUGAUGCUAAUGCAAAGAAAAAAUUGAACAAGGAUAAUCAGGAAGCAUAUAGGAAGAAAUUAAUGGACGAAAAAAGGGCUCUAAAAGGAGGUCAAUUUUUUGUUGUACAAAUCAAUUUUGCGGAUCAUGUUCAGAUGAGAGCUUACUGAGUUUUUUCAUAACCCAUCAAGAAAAGUCAUGUAAAGCAGAUUUGAGGGCUGAAGCUGCUAAACAGAAGCAGUUGGAGAAAGAGAGGAAGAAAUUGGAGAACUAUAAGUUCAAUGAGAAUGACAUCGUGGCUGAAAUUGAUCUAAACGUUCUGUCAGGUUCACUUAGAGGUCCUCUGCUAACAAUGUUUAACGAGAAAGGUCUCAAUUAUAAAAUAAAUCCAAAUCCCGUUGAAGAAUCAAUUGUUUGGAGAUUUACUCUUCCAGAAAAUAUUUAUCAGAAGUCUGAAGUGAAACCAGAUAUUCGAUAUAUAUUGCUCAUUUAUGAUGCUGCUGCAACAGACUUGCAAGUUCAGACACAAAUAAUUCUCACACACCGAAAUAGGAGAAGCAAGGAGAAGUUUAAUUGAUGAAAACUCAACAGAGUGGAAUACAAAAUCAGUAGCUUUAGGCUACCACUCUCAAGUUGUUGUUGGUCCCCUUUUGUGCUUCCUGCUGUACACGAGUUGGACGGUUAGGAUGGUUCAUUACAGAUGCUGAGGAAUUUUGUAACCGUGCUAAUGAUGGAUCUCUUAUGGUUCAUAUUUCUUCUAUGCGUUAUCAUUCUUACACAAUCUGCUGCCUCACUAACAGGUUGAUUUAUUUUUAUCAAUUAAAGAUUUUGUUAAGGUAUUCAACAAUCCGUGGGACCAGCUUUUCACCACCGUGGGGAUAAAUGAAGUUCGAGACAAGUUGACAAACUUCAUUACUAGUGAUUAUCUUUGAUAUUUUCUUGUAAUGAAUCUUAUAUUAUGGAUUCUAGUUUUUCAUAUGAUUAUAAUGUAAUCGACUUUUAGAUUUACAAUUAUAUACUUUUUAAUUUAAUUAUCUAUAUAAUUGGAUACUUUUAUGUGAUGUAUGGAGGUUAAUCAAUGGCGUGGUCCAAUUGUAUAAUAUAUGUAGCAGGGUUAUAUAACAAAUCUUGAUCAAGUGCGGCUCACUUAUAGGCCAAGUGCGGCUCAUUUAUAUAUCAAGUGCAGCUCAUUUUUAUGCUUGUGCUGCCCAUUUCUAUGUCAAGUGCGGGCUCAUUUUCAAAUUUGGCAGCACCAAAUAUGUCAAGUGCGGGCUCAUUUUCAAAAUUGGCAGCACCAAGUUUGUCAAGUGCGGGCUCAUAUUCUGAAAUUGGCAGCACCAAAUUAGUCAAGUGCGGGCUCAUUUUUCAAAUUGGCAGCACUUGAAACAUCAAGUGCUGCCAAUAUUUUGGCAGCACUUGAGAAACAUCAAGUGCGGGCACUCCAUGUGCUGCACAUGUAAAAGCCCGCACUAAACCCCUUAAAAUGAGCCCGCACUUGAGCUUUUUUCCUCUAGUGUAUUUUUCUGAGAUGGAAUUUUUGUGUUGAAGGAGUGUCGCACCAUCUUCUGGGAACAAUCAGCCCGGCCCUAUUGUGGAAUUCACUUCUAAAGAUUUCCGAGAUGCUGCUAUACCUGUCGAACCUUGAAUGAGAGCCAGCGGCUCCUUGCCCACACGACUGCUGCCUUGGGCCUUCCCAGCUCCAGACAUCGCGGAGACGGCUGCCUCUGGCGUGGUUUUGUCGGUGAGCUUUGUUCGGGGAAGCGAACAUUGCGGUCGGCGAAAAGGUUGUUGGAGCAGUUGCUGCAGUAUUCUUCUUCUGAUGAUGGGAGUGGACCUCAUAAUCCUAGCAUUAUUGUAGCUGCGGCACUGUCGAAAAUGAAUAGAAUGAGAGAUGUCAAAAUGUUGAGUGACAAGUCGAAGCUAAAGAGAC